Molecule: ribosomal RNA, 708 nt
Filed under: uncultured bacterium
Lineage: Bacteria
Description: bacterial SSU rRNA
Rfam family: Bacterial small subunit ribosomal RNA
Source: RNAcentral
CUAAUACAUGCAAGUCGAGCGCGGGAAGCAGGUGUCAGUCUUCGGACGGACGUCUGUGGAACGAGCGGCGGAUGGGUGAGUAACACGUGGGUAACCUGCCUGUAAGCUUGGGAUAACUCGCGGAAACGUGAGCUAAUACCGAAUGAUCCUGACGUUCGCAUGAACGUUAGGUAAAAGGCGGCUUUUGCUGUCACUUACAGAUGGACCCGCGGCGCAUUAGCUAGUUGGUGGGGUAACGGCUCACCAAAGCGACGAUGCGUAGCCGACCUGAGAGGGUGAUCGGCCACACUGGGACUGAGACACGGCCCAGACUCCUACGGGAGGCAGCAGUAGGGAAUCUUCCGCAAUGGACGAAAGUCUGACGGAGCGACGCCGCGUGAGUGAUGAAGGUCUUCGGAUCGUAAAACUCUGUUGUUAGGGAAGAAUAAGUACGGACCGAAAAGGUCAGUACCUUGACGGUACCUAACCAGAAAGCCCCGGCUAACUACGUGCCAGCAGCCGCGGUAAUACGUAGGGGGCAAGCGUUGUCCGGAAUUAUUGGGCGUAAAGGGCGCGCAGGCGGUCUUCUAAGUCUGAUGUGAAAGCCCACGGCUUAACCGUGGAAGGUCAUUGGAAACUGGGGGACUUGAGUGCAGAAGAGGAGAGUGGAAUUCCAUGUGUAGCGGUGAAAUGCGUAGAGAUAUGGAGGAACACCAGUGGCGAAGGCGA